CUGAUUUAACGACGUUUCUUCUGAGUGGUACAAGCAAAUAAUCAAAACUUUUAACAACGGAUCUCUUGGUUCUGGCAUCGAUGAAGAACGCAGCGAAAUGCGAUAAGUAAUGUGAAUUGCAGAAUUCAGUGAAUCAUCGAAUCUUUGAACGCACAUU
Molecule: ribosomal RNA, 157 nt
Filed under: Colletotrichum gloeosporioides
Lineage: Eukaryota; Fungi; Ascomycota; Sordariomycetes; Glomerellales; Glomerellaceae
Description: 5.8S ribosomal RNA
Rfam family: 5.8S ribosomal RNA (bases 46-157)
About the family: 5.8S ribosomal RNA (5.8S rRNA) is a component of the large subunit of the eukaryotic ribosome.
Source: RNAcentral